UACAGAGGGGGCAAGCGUUGUUCGGAAUUACUGGGCGUAAAGGGCGCGUAGGCGGCCUGCUAAGUCGAACGUGAAAUCCCUGGGCUCAACCCAGGAACUGCGUCCGAUACUGGUUGGCUUGAAUCCGGGAGAGGGAUGUGGAAUUCCAGGUGUAGCGGUGAAAUGCGUAGAUAUCUGGAGGAACACCGGUGGCGAAGGCGGGUCUCUGGGCCGUAACUGACGCUGAGGAGCGAAAGCAUGGGGAGCGAACAGG
RNAcentral lists this ribosomal RNA (253 nucleotides) under uncultured bacterium. RNAcentral describes it as "partial 16S ribosomal RNA". It matches the Rfam family "Bacterial small subunit ribosomal RNA", at positions 524 to 776 of the family's 1533-position model. The record is from RNAcentral.